GGUCAAGCGAAUAAGGGCUAACGGUGGAUACCUAGGCA
Molecule: ribosomal RNA, 38 nt
Filed under: Phormidium cf. nigrum CCALA 147
Lineage: Bacteria; Bacillati; Cyanobacteriota; Cyanophyceae; Oscillatoriales; Oscillatoriaceae
Description: partial 23S ribosomal RNA
Source: RNAcentral